UAGGGAAUAUUGCACAAUGGGGGAAACCCUGAUGCAGCGACGCCGCGUGAGUGAUGAAGGCCUUCGGGUCGUAAAGCUCUGUUCUACGAGACGAAAAAAAUGACGGUAUCGUAGAAGAAAGGACCGGCUAACUUCGUGCCAGCAGCCGCGGUAAUACGAGGGGUCCUAGCGUUGUUCGGAAUCAUUGGGCGUAAAGCGUCUGUAGGCGGCUUUGUAAGUCAGGUGUGAAAGCCCCGGGCUCAACCCGGGAAGUGCAUUUGAUACUGCAUAGCUUGAAUGUUGGAGAGGAUAGUAGAAUUCCAGGUGUAGUGGUGAAAUACGUAGAUAUCUGGAGGAAUACCGGUGGCGAAGGCGGCUAUCUGGCCAAACAUUGACGCUGAGAGACGAAAGCAUGGGGAUCAAACA
Molecule: ribosomal RNA, 405 nt
Filed under: uncultured Bdellovibrio sp.
Lineage: Bacteria; Pseudomonadati; Bdellovibrionota; Bdellovibrionia; Bdellovibrionales; Pseudobdellovibrionaceae
Description: bacterial SSU rRNA
Rfam family: Bacterial small subunit ribosomal RNA
Source: RNAcentral